Molecule: unclassified non-coding RNA, 326 nt
Filed under: Hevea brasiliensis (rubber tree)
Lineage: Eukaryota; Viridiplantae; Streptophyta; Magnoliopsida; Malpighiales; Euphorbiaceae
Source: RNAcentral
UUUAUUUAUUAUUAUUUUUUUUCUCGUUACUAACAUAAUUUUUUUUUAGAAUAGAAUUUUUUUUUUCCUUUUCUCGUUAGUGCCUUCCUUCCUUGUCCAUGUGAUUGAAGUAAACUAAACCUCAAUCAUUCUCUUGUAACUAUUAUUAAUUUUUUUUUCCCAUUUUGUUAUUGGCUCACCACCACCUUCCAAAAUAAACUUUUUGAAUAAAAGCUAAUCUAUAUAUUUAUCUUCACAUUUAUCACAAUUUAAAUUUUUAAUUUUUUUACACUAUUAAAUAAAAAAUUUAUGUUUACUAUUUUUUAAUUGAUUUAUGUGUAUUAGGA